GUUACAUUGGCAGAUUAGUGCAAUAAAUUUAGAAUUUACAAAUAUGAGAGGUUUCUUUCAUAUGUAAUA
RNAcentral lists this transfer RNA (69 nucleotides) under Ips nitidus. Its description in RNAcentral is "tRNA-Leu". Lineage: Eukaryota; Metazoa; Arthropoda; Insecta; Coleoptera; Curculionidae. The record is from RNAcentral.